Sapajus apella (tufted capuchin) is the source of this 657-nucleotide long non-coding RNA. RefSeq lists it as uncharacterized. The record is from RefSeq and is a predicted model, not a curated record. The transcript is spliced from 3 exons. Lineage: Eukaryota; Metazoa; Chordata; Mammalia; Primates; Cebidae.
UUAAGGGAUAUUCCUUAGUAAAAUGUUCUGAUCAUCUUGGAAGCCCUGCUGGUAAAACAGAGAUGAAAAUAUCUUCAUUUAUCACUAUAUUACAUCAACAUGGACAGGCUGUGUUUGCACCUUGGUUCCACCAUUCAGUAACUGUGUGUCUUGGACAGCUUACUUAAACUUGCUGCAUUUUUGGCUUCUCAUCUGUGAAGUGAGCAGCUGCCAAAGGUCAUCUGACAUAAUAGCUGAUGAAUUCAAGCCCAGUGGAUUUCAUUUGCAAUUUUCAAUUUACUGAGGCCUCCAAACCCCACGGUGAUAAAAGCUUCCCCUAUCGUGGCCUGUCACAAACAUCAAGAAACUGCACAAACCCACAAGAAAGAAAAAAGAGGGAGCUGUGCAUCAUCACAGCUAUAGAUAAGGAGAACAGGAAGAAAUGGCAUCAAGCAGGAAGGUGGGGAGCAGCCUGUGUGGCUAGUUCUCUAAAUGCCAAUUGAAAGGAAAAGACUAUGAGGACCAAUCAAAUAACUUCCACAGAAUAACAACAUGUUUCUUUGGAGCUUUUGUGUGAAAACUGCCUUCUAAUCUCUGACGCAACAUGCUCCCACACAAAAGUGUAAGUGUAAAUAUGCAAAUAAGUAAAUGAAUAAAUUAUCCUUGCUUACCUGGUCA